This is a long non-coding RNA of Bos taurus (domestic cattle), 311 nucleotides long. Lineage: Eukaryota; Metazoa; Chordata; Mammalia; Artiodactyla; Bovidae. The record is from Ensembl.
GGGGAGCCUCGUGGGCUUCGGUCUAUGGGGUCGCACAGAGUCGAACACGACUGAAGCGACUUAGCAGCAGUAGCAGCUUCAUACUGAGGUGCCACCUAGAAACUGGACAGAUGAGGCCGUUUGGUUUCUGGUGACCAGGACUACACCCCUAGGACAGCCUACUUGCUCCAGAACCUGCAGACGGGAUCCUGGGGAAAUUGGCAGAAGCCUGCAAAGGAGGAGAAUUCUUACCCAAGUCAACUUGCCUAAAUCUCUAUCUGUCAUGCCAGGUGAAGAGAGAAGAAGGUGCCUCCCCAACCUGACUCCAUCUG